RNAcentral lists this unclassified non-coding RNA (506 nucleotides) under Hevea brasiliensis (rubber tree). The record is from RNAcentral. Lineage: Eukaryota; Viridiplantae; Streptophyta; Magnoliopsida; Malpighiales; Euphorbiaceae.
GAUUGAAUAUAGCUCCACAUAACUUGCAUAACCAAUGCUGCAGUACUCCAGGAUCUGUAACUUGCUGAUUUUUGAAUUGCAUAUACAGAUUCUUGCUCAGAUUUUUAGACCAAACAAUGAGCAUCUCAUAUAAUUUUGCAUCAUGUAUUUUCGGAAAUUGCCAUGCCUUUGGGAACCGAGACAUCAGGGGAUUACUUUUAUUGUCGAGCUGUAAAUUUGUAGUAAUUACGUAUCCGCACAGCGACUCAUUAAGGUCUUCAAGCUCCAGUCCUUUAACAGACAACAACUUGCCGAUUGAUGUACCAAAAACACUAUCAAAUCCUUGUAUGAAAAAUGAUACUUGCUCAGAGAUAGAUGCGACAAAACGGUGUUGAAUUAGAUGAUCAACAUAAGCCUCCCUGCUACUUUUGCUAUUCACAUAGCGCAGUUCUGUGCUCCAUUGGCACCCCAACAAAGCUUCAGGGAAUUCUAGAACUUCAGAAUCAAUGAACUCACCAUCUAUGAUC